Molecule: ribosomal RNA, 468 nt
Filed under: uncultured bacterium
Lineage: Bacteria
Description: partial 16S ribosomal RNA
Rfam family: Bacterial small subunit ribosomal RNA
Source: RNAcentral
GACGAACGCUGGCGGCGUGCUUAACACAUGCAAGUCGAACGGAAAGGCCCUGCUUUUGUGGGGUGCUCGAGUGGCGAACGGGUGAGUAACACGUGAGUAACCUGCCCUUGACUUUGGGAUAACUUCAGGAAACUGGGGCUAAUACCGGAUAGGAGCUCCUGCUGCAUGGUGGGGGUUGGAAAGGUUCGGCGGUUGGGGAUGGACUCGCGGCUUAUCAGCUUGUUGGUGGGGUAGUGGCUUACCAAGGCUUUGACGGGUAGCCGGCCUGAGAGGGUGACCGGCCACAUUGGGACUGAGAUACGGCCCAGACUCCUACGGGAGGCAGCAGUGGGGAAUACUGCACAAUGGGCGGAAGCCUGAUGCAGCAACGCCGCGUGCGGGAUGACGGCCUUCGGGUUGUAAACCGCUUUCGCCUGUGACGAAGCGUGAGUGACGGUAAUGGGUAAAGAAGCACCGGCUAACUACGUG